AAAUAAUAGCAUGGUAUAUUUAAAUAAUAAUUAAAUAAAAUAUUUAUUAAAAUAAAUCAUAAGCCCGAAUUAAUCUAAUUUAAAUCAGUGAAUAAGAUAAAAUGAAUUAUAUUAUAUUUGGACUUGAUUUUUUAAUAUUAUAUAAUAUCCUUAAAUACAUAUAAUUACCAAGAUACACUGAUAUAGCUCACAUACAUUAAUUUAAUUAAUUUUUAUAAAAUCAAUGUCUAAAAAAAUAGGUAUCUUAACUUCUAUAUUAAUUAACUUUUUUACUUGUAAUUCAAAAUAUUUUCUGUAUAAAAAUCAUGAAAUAAUAAUAGCAUUAAAAAUUCGAAAUACAUGUUAAAUAGUUGAAAUUUUAGGCACAAAAUAAAAUUAAAGCUUAUUCAUCACAUUUCUUACAUUUUCACAUGCAGAUUGUGUGAAGUCAUUAAUGUAUAAUCCAUAGAAGCAAUCACGUAGGUUUUUCAAUCAAAAUAUGGUUAAAAUUCAUAAAAAAUUGCAGUGUACACCAAAAAUAAAUUUUUAAAUGUAGAAUUGUUUACAUAAUGUGAUAGGUAAAUUUAUUAGAUUGAUAAAUAUAGUGAAUAUAAACAAUCAUCAUUUAUUCACAUGAAUAAGUAAACAUGAAUCAAGCAAUUGUAACGUGCUUUGCAAAGAUCACAAAGUUAUUGUAACAUUUUAAGAAAAAGAUUAAUUUUAAACAGUAUAUAUUAAAAAUCAUCAUCAAACUGUAACACUAUUUUUUAUUCUUUAUUUCAUAAAUUUUCUUAGUUUUCUUUCUCAUGUUUUUUACCCAUGUACCAUAUGUGAUUGAUGGUAAAGAACUUCCUAAAAUCUCAAUAAAGUUCUGCUUGUAAACUGAUCGAAUUACAAAUUGGAGAAGAUUUAAAAAAAAAAGAAAAAAAAAAAAGAAAAAAAAAAAAAAUCGUUUGGUGAGUUUCAUAAUGAUUGAAAUUCUUCACAGUUCACUUAUUUUCCUUGUAUAAUCACCUGCUCAACUUUUACUCAAAGUUAUCAAGGGUUUCUUGGCAAGAAAGGAAGAAAUGGGUGGCAUUGAAAAAAUGUUUUUAUUUUUUUAUUUUUAUGGAUAAGAUAAGACAAGAUGGAAAACCAAGCCUCAUGUCUCCUCUACUUCUCUUGUCGCUGCAAAUGAUUUACGCUUUUCAAGUGCACUCAAAAAAUUGGCUUCAUCUAAGUGUCCAUCACAUGAAAGCCAACCCACAUGAGUUGCAUUGUUGGUCUGCUACUAACACCUGAAAGCAGUUGAAUGGACUAUGAGUAUUUUGGCAAUCAAAUUGAGUAUUACUUAAUUUCCAAAUUUAUGGGAUCAAAUUUUAUCAGUUGGCAAGAGACAUGUGUGCUUUUUGGAUUUUUGUUAAUAAAAAUGCAUUUAUAUAUGUAUAUUUUAGCAUUCUACAAAGGAGAACAGAGAUAUUUAUUUUUCAACCUGAGGAGAUUAAAGUGAACACAGCACAACAUUUUGAAAAGUUCAAUGUUGACACAUGAUUUUUGCGUUAAAUUGUGAAAUGUGGGCAGGUUCAGUGUGGAGGUGUGGGCUUGUGGGGCUUUACUUUACAAACAAGAAAACAAUAUUCUAAUAAAUUUUGUAAAUAUAUGGAUCUGGUAAAAGGAAAAGAAUGACUUGUUCAGGGCAUGUGGCACAAGUGGAUGGGUUGGACUGCACCCAAAAAAAGCCUGGCAAAAGAAUAAUCUGAUGUUAUCAUUUCUUUCUGUUUGUAUAUGUUUGUUUGUGUAUUUUAGUUAUUGAUAUGUACACACACGAGUUCCAAAGUCUGGAUCUCACUAGGGUUUUUGUGCAGGGAUUGUUUGUAUACUGUCUUGAUGGAGGAAUCAUUAGGCAUCCUUCUAUACAGGACAAGGAUGUUGUUGCCUGGCAUUGUUGGUGAUUAAUCCUAUUUUUGUUCUUUUGUCAGGAUUUAGGUUGUUGAACUCUAAAAGCACAAUGUCCCUCUACAGCACAAAAUCUUAUUGGAAGAAUGUUUCUCUUGCAACUUAAACACCCAAUCACCGCAAGGGACUGGUUUCCAAGCAGAUUACCCACAUGCUUGGUGCUUCCCAUGAAAUGGUCACCUGCUACCAUGUGCCAAAUUUGCUCAAACCUCUCCAUCAUCUCAUCUUACAUUUUUUUAUUUUUUUUCUUAAUUCUUUCUUUUGCAUAUUUUGCUGAUGUGAUUCAAUUUUAGCCUUCUAAAGGCCUGCUCCUCAACUAUUGUGCCACACACUGAUUAGCCAAUUCACAGUUGGAGUCAUCCUUUUCAUGGCAUUUUUUUUUUUUUUUUUUUUUUUUAAUACAUAAAUUACUGAACAGAUUGAUACAGUAUUAGAUUCAAAUCUUUUUGGUUCAGAGAUAUUGAUGAUCUUUGGGGGCAAAUGUACUGCAAAAAGAAGAGUGACAAAUGUUGCAGAAUCUGAUACAGUAUCCACCUGUGGACAAGAUCUAACUUGAAAAACUCAAACCCAUGUGCAGAAUGAUGAUACCAGAGUGAUUUAAUUUUCCAGUAUUAUCAGGCACACAAUUAAAGGAUGCAAACCAAGUGUGUUUAUCCUUUCUUCUUUUUUCUUAAUGUUUUUUUGCAACCAGGGAAGUCGGGCUUUUAUAAUUUGCAGAGGUUUUCAAUAUGUCAAUUUACACUAAGAAAGGACAACAUGGUAUGCCAAGAGGGCUUUCUCAACCAAUUCAAAGAAAUAUUGGUAUAAGUAUUCUAUAUAAAUUCUAAUUACAUGUACAAGAAAAGUUAAUUUUUCUUAAAAGCUAUAGAAGCUCAUUAACAAAUUGGUUGCUUGCACUAGGAAAAAGUUACUCUUGGUAAGCUCUUUCUUAAGUUUUGUGAAGAAUUAUUUAGAAUUUAUUAUUUGUAUUCAUCUUAUAUAUUAUGUUGAUUGAAUAGUCUAUUGGUCAAUAACACUAUUUAGGUUAAUAGUAUAUGUCACUAUAAAAAGACUCAUCAUUCAAUGAAUUUAAGGUCCAAACAAUAGUACUUUAGACAUAAGUAGGUCCAAAAUCUAAUAGAUCAAAAAGUUCUCUUUGGACUUGGCUUUAAUUUAAAGAAAACUUGUUGAUCACCUUUAAUAAUCAUUGAAUUAUUAUGCCUCUUAUCAAAUAUUAAUUUGUAAUUACUAUUCCUGAAAAAAAAUCUUUUUGUAUCAAAGUUGACAAGUUCUAAUUGGAAUUCUUAUUAAGAAUUGUUUUGUACCAAUAAAUUGAACUACAUACAAUUAAACUUUAAUAAAAAUAUUGUAAAAACUUAUUUUGGAUUAAAUAAUAGAAGAAAUAUAGCUUAAAUUUUAAAAAUAUUCUAUAUUCAAAAUCAAUUAAAAUAAAACUUUAAAAUAUAAAAUAAUAAUAGUUCUUUUACAUCAUUGACCUAGAUUGUUAUUUACAUCACUUUGAUUCUUGGCUGCUAGCUAUAUUUUUCUAAGCAACUAGUUACUCUCUUAAUCUAAUCUAUUCUAACUUACACUUUAGGAUAAGUGGUUCUUAUGUGGAUCAAGUGUCUUCUAUUUGUUUUCAAUUAUUUAGACCCUAUUAGUAUAAUUCUUAUGUAGAUUGGUUAUCUCCUAUAUACCUUCUACUAUAGAAACCCUAUUAAUUUGGAUUCCUAUAUUAAAUUAGUUCUUCCAAAUUUCUUUUAGAUAAUCAAGCUAACUAACAUUUUGUACUUAAAUUAUCUUUGUGGAAGUAAAUAAUUAGGUGGUACACAAAAAGAUUAGAUUUUAUUAGGUUUAGUGGUUAGCUAUAAGCUUUAAAUUAUAUAGCACUAAAAAUAAUUUGGACAAAUAUAUUUAAACAAAACAAACACACUUACGAUAGUCUUUGAAAAUCUUAGUUGAAUUAUAAUUCAUCUUUAAUACAUAUCUUUAAAAUACACUUCUCAAACUAGGUUAUAACAGGGCAUGGAUAGGAUAUUUGUCUUAUUUGUAAAUAGAAAUAUGCAAUUGGAAUU
This 3968-nucleotide long non-coding RNA is filed under the name Physcomitrium patens. RNAcentral describes it as "long non-coding RNA (PPAT_LNC003880)". Lineage: Eukaryota; Viridiplantae; Streptophyta; Bryopsida; Funariales; Funariaceae. The record is from RNAcentral.